This 253-nucleotide ribosomal RNA is filed under the name uncultured bacterium. RNAcentral's name for it is "partial 16S ribosomal RNA". It matches the Rfam family "Bacterial small subunit ribosomal RNA", at positions 524 to 776 of the family's 1533-position model. The record is from RNAcentral.
GACGAACUGAGCGAACGUUGUUCGGAAUCACUGGGCUUAAAGGGCGCGUAGGCGGGCUGCCGCGUCCGGGGUGAAAUCCCACGGCUCAACCGUGGAACGGCCCCGGGUACGGGCGGCCUCGAGGGGGGUAGGGGCGUGCGGAACUGUGGGUGGAGCGGUGAAAUGCGUUGAUAUCCACAGGAACUCCGGUGGCGAAGGCGGCACGCUGGACCCCCACUGACGCUGAGGCGCGAAAGCCAGGGGAGCGAACGGG